Molecule: long non-coding RNA, 519 nt
Filed under: Taeniopygia guttata (zebra finch)
Lineage: Eukaryota; Metazoa; Chordata; Aves; Passeriformes; Estrildidae
Description: lncRNA (ENSTGUG00000025819.1)
Source: RNAcentral
CCCGCUCUUUAGCGAGCUAGUGGCUUACGCCGUAACUUGGUACAGUUUAUGUGAUAGUCACUCCGGUUCCAGUUCCCUCUUCCAGCGAUCUGUAGGAACGAGAGGGAUCUCUGCGGCAGGGCUGUGCCUGCUGCUCCCGCCCCAGCUCGGCUCCCCGAGCAGAGCGGUUCCUGCAGCCGACGUGCAGCAAAUACAGAAAGCUCGGUCCCCUGCAAGAGUAUUGCACCGCUGUGACCUCACUGUGCUGUUACACCCCCAGCAGAAUGUUUCUAGAUUGUCUCCAUGGCCACCGAGGAUGUGGUCAGUGACAGGCAACAUCCUGUAAAGGCACAUCUGCCCAGCUCAGAAAUAUCGAACACCGCAUAUUGUAGUGCUUUGCCUCUUCUGGAAAAGUGUAUGCUGCAGAGAAUCAUUACAGCUAUCCUAGAGCUGAGGAGGUGCCUCUUUACCCAAGGUUUCUUCCUUGAAUCCAAUUUGAAUUUAUUUUGCAUGAGAGCAAAAUCCAGCAGAGUGGGAUGA